Molecule: long non-coding RNA, 706 nt
Filed under: Piliocolobus tephrosceles (Ugandan red Colobus)
Lineage: Eukaryota; Metazoa; Chordata; Mammalia; Primates; Cercopithecidae
Description: lncRNA (ENSPTEG00000019070.1)
Source: RNAcentral
UGGGAAAUAUCGUGGGCCCCACAGUGAAGUCACAUCUGGUGGCUUUAAGAUACAUCUUGUGCCCAAUGGCAUUCAUCUCUGUCUACUUCCCCAGGUACCUAUGGCCGGCCUACUCCCACUUUCUUAUCAAAGCCAGUAUUCUCAAUUGAAAGCCUUAUUGGGGACGUGCUCUUCAGACCUGACAGCUCCCAAACAAAAGGAAAACGCAAAGAGAAGACUAAAGUCAUUGCUGAAUUAGUCUGCAUUGCAGACCCAAAUGUCCUCUCAGGCCCCCAGUCUGGACUGUGAGAGCCCUUCUACUGCUAUCACACCAUUCUGAGAUUUAGGAAACACCAUUUACAGGACCCACCUGGACACCUGGAUUAUUCUUCUGCUCCCACACCAUGCUACAGCACUGGAGUCUCAGAAGGAUGGGGUUCUGGUCCACGCUUUUACAAGUCCAGUCCAGACCUGCAAUGCUGCUGACCAGGCCACAUCACAGCCGUCUUCACGGAAGCCCAAAAGUUAGCCAAGCACAGCAGUGGUACCUUGCCUGGACUCCAUCCUUUGCUGUCUUCUGGGGGAAUCUGCUCCCUGUGGACAUUCUGCCCCAGGACCCAUGAACUGUUCAGAAGUGUUGGCCAGCACCAAGUGAGUGUGCAAGUGGGAUUUUAGGAGGAACAUGUUGAACUUCCUGCAUGUGGGGGUCUGGAGUGAGUGACUGAAA